CAUGCAAGUCGAACGGUAGCACAGAGAGCUUGCUCUCGGGUGACGAGUGGCGGACGGGUGAGUAAUGUCUGGGAAACUGCCUGAUGGAGGGGGAUAACUACUGGAAACGGUAGCUAAUACCGCAUAACGUCGCAAGACCAAAGAGGGGGACCUUCGGGCCUCUUGCCAUCAGAUGUGCCCAGAUGGGAUUAGCUAGUAGGUGGGGUAACGGCUCACCUAGGCGACGAUCCCUAGCUGGUCUGAGAGGAUGACCAGCCACACUGGAACUGAGACACGGUCCAGACUCCUACGGGAGGCAGCAGUGGGGAAUAUUGCACAAUGGGCGCAAGCCUGAUGCAGCCAUGCCGCGUGUAUGAAGAAGGCCUUCGGGUUGUAAAGUACUUUCAGCGAGGAGGAAGGCGAUACGGUUAAUAACCGUGUCGAUUGACGUUACUCGCAGAAGAAGCACCGGCUAACUCCGUGCCAGCAGCCGCGGUAAUACGGAGGGUGCAAGCGUUAAUCGGAAUUACUGGGCGUAAAGCGCACGCAGGCGGUCUGUCAAGUCGGAUGUGAAAUCCCCGGGCUCAACCUGGGAACUGCAUUCGAAACUGGCAGGCUUGAGUCUUGUAGAGGGGGGUAGAAUUCCAGGUGUAGCGGUGAAAUGCGUAGAGAUCUGGAGGAAUACCGGUGGCGAAGGCGGCCCCCUGGACAAAGACUGACGCUCAGGUGCGAAAGCGUGGGGAGC
Molecule: ribosomal RNA, 724 nt
Filed under: Yokenella regensburgei
Lineage: Bacteria; Pseudomonadati; Pseudomonadota; Gammaproteobacteria; Enterobacterales; Enterobacteriaceae
Description: bacterial SSU rRNA
Rfam family: Bacterial small subunit ribosomal RNA
Source: RNAcentral